Molecule: unclassified non-coding RNA, 298 nt
Organism: Macaca fascicularis (crab-eating macaque)
Lineage: Eukaryota; Metazoa; Chordata; Mammalia; Primates; Cercopithecidae
Rfam family: Metazoan signal recognition particle RNA
About the family: The signal recognition particle (SRP) is a universally conserved ribonucleoprotein. It is involved in the co-translational targeting of proteins to membranes.
Source: Ensembl
GCUGUGCGCGGUGGUGGCGUGCACCUCAGCUACUCAGGAAGCUGAGGUGACAUCAUUUGCACCCAGGAGUUCUGGGCUGUAGUGCACCCGCAGUGCCCAUCAGGGGCCCACACAGUGUUCAGCAUCAAUACAGUAACCUCCUGGAAGCAGGGGAUCACCAGGAUGCCUCAGGGAGGGGUGAGCCAGCCAAGGUUGAAAAUAGAACAGGUCAAAACUCCCGUGCAGAUCAGUCAUGGGAUCGUGCCUGUGAACAGCCACUGCACUCCAGCCUGGGCAACAUAGCGCGAUCCCGUCUCUA